This 71-nucleotide transfer RNA is filed under the name Planctomycetaceae bacterium. Its description in RNAcentral is "tRNA-Gln". It matches the Rfam family "tRNA". From Rfam's summary of the family: Transfer RNA (tRNA) molecules are approximately 80 nucleotides in length. Their secondary structure includes four short double-helical elements and three loops (D, anti-codon, and T loops). The record is from RNAcentral. Lineage: Bacteria; Pseudomonadati; Planctomycetota; Planctomycetia; Planctomycetales; Planctomycetaceae.
UACCCCAUAGUGUAAUGGUAGCACCAGUGAUUUUGGUUCACUUAGUCUAGGUUCAAAUCCUAGUGGGGUAG